This 405-nucleotide ribosomal RNA is filed under the name uncultured bacterium. RNAcentral's name for it is "partial 16S ribosomal RNA". It matches the Rfam family "Bacterial small subunit ribosomal RNA", at positions 362 to 774 of the family's 1533-position model. The record is from RNAcentral.
UAUUGCGCAAUGGAGGAAACUCUGACGCAGCGACGCCGCGUGAGCGAUGAAGGUCNUCNNAUCGUNANGCUCUGUCCUUGGGGNNNNNGAUCGAAAGAUUUGACGGUACCCGAAGAGGAAGCCCCGGCUAACUACGUGCCAGCAGCCGCGGUAAUACGUAGGGGGCAAGCGUUGUCCGGAAUUAUUGGGCGUAAAGGGUGCGUAGGCGGCUUUUUAAGUCAGAUGUGAAAGACCACGGCUUAACCGUGGGGUUGCAUUUGAAACUGGAAGGCUUGAGUAUCGGAGAGGGUAGUGGAAUUCCCAGUGUAGCGGUGAAAUGCGUAGAUAUUGGGAGGAACACCAGUGGCGAAGGCGACUACCUGGACGAAAACUGACGCUGAUGCACGAAAGCUAGGGGAGCAAACA